AUAUUGGACAAUGGGCGCAAGCCUGAUCCAGCCAUGCCGCGUGAGUGAUGAAGGCCUUAGGGUUGUAAAGCUCUUUUGUCCGGGACGAUAAUGACGGUACCGGAAGAAUAAGCCCCGGCUAACUUCGUGCCAGCAGCCGCGGUAAUACGAAGGGGGCUAGCGUUGCUCGGAAUCACUGGGCGUAAAGGGCGCGUAGGCGGCCAUUCAAGUCGGGGGUGAAAGCCUGUGGCUCAACCACAGAAUUGCCUUCGAUACUGUUUGGCUUGAGUUUGGUAGAGGUUGGUGGAACUGCGAGUGUAGAGGUGAAAUUCGUAGAUAUUCGCAAGAACACCAGUGGCGAAGGCGGCCAACUGGACCAAUACUGACGCUGAGGCGCGAAAGCGUGGGGAGCAAACAG
This 397-nucleotide ribosomal RNA is filed under the name uncultured bacterium. Its description in RNAcentral is "bacterial SSU rRNA". It matches the Rfam family "Bacterial small subunit ribosomal RNA", at positions 361 to 775 of the family's 1533-position model. The record is from RNAcentral.